GGUAACACAGCUGGUUGAUGAAAUCAUGCAAAAGGAUCAUGGAAUGGAACCAUGUUACCUCAGAUGUAAGACACAGGCGGACCCAUCUACUGAGCUCUUUAUGUGCACGGACAGUUGGUACCUCAAUUUCCACCAGAAGGCUGACAGGUUCCUGAAAAACAAGAAAAAAGAAAUGCACACUCCCUUCGCAGGCAUUAUCCUGUUCAGGUUCAAAGGGACUUUCUCAGCCCAUCUCACAACAGUCAAGGCCAAGAAGCCUUCACAUUGUUGAGAAUGCAGGCACCCCUGGUGCAACUUUCAUAAAUAACAAUCCCAUAACAAUACGAUGAAUACUUGAGGGAGAAACAGAAUCCAAA
RNAcentral lists this long non-coding RNA (356 nucleotides) under Setaria italica (foxtail millet). RNAcentral describes it as "long non-coding RNA (SITA_LNC006555)". The record is from RNAcentral. Lineage: Eukaryota; Viridiplantae; Streptophyta; Magnoliopsida; Poales; Poaceae.